RNAcentral lists this ribosomal RNA (581 nucleotides) under uncultured fungus. RNAcentral's name for it is "eukaryotic LSU rRNA". It matches the Rfam family "Eukaryotic large subunit ribosomal RNA", at positions 40 to 647 of the family's 3401-position model. Lineage: Eukaryota; Fungi. The record is from RNAcentral.
AUAUCAAUAAGCGGAGGAAAAGAAACCAACAGGGAUUGCCUCAGUAACGGCGAGUGAAGCGGCAACAGCUCAAAUUUGAAAUCUGGCCUCUGGCCCGAGUUGUAAUUUGCAGAGGAUGCUUCGGGCGCGGUGCCUUCCAAGUCCCCUGGAACGGGGCGCCGGAGAGGGUGAGAGCCCCGUACGGUUGGCGGCCAAGCCUGUGUGGAGCUCCUUCGACGAGUCGAGUAGUUUGGGAAUGCUGCUCUAAGCGGGAGGUAGACCCCUUCUAAAGCUAAAUACCGGCCAGAGACCGAUAGCGCACAAGUAGAGUGAUCGAAAGAUGAAAAGCACUUUGAAAAGAGGGUUAAAUAGCACGUGAAAUUGUUGAAAGGGAAGCGCUUAUGACCAGACUUGCGCCGGGUUGAUCAUCCAGUGUUCUCACUGGUGCACUCUGCCCGGCUCAGGCCAGCAUCGGUUCUGGAGGGGGCAUAAAGGCCGCGGGAACGUAGCUCCUCCGGGAGUGUUAUAGCCCGCAGUGUAAUAUCCCCACUGGGACCGAGGACCGCGCUCUGCAAGGAUGCUGGCGUAAUGGUCAUCAGCGA